This 85-nucleotide microRNA precursor is filed under the name Pelobates cultripes (western spadefoot toad). Lineage: Eukaryota; Metazoa; Chordata; Amphibia; Anura; Pelobatidae. The record is from RNAcentral.
CCCCCCUACCAGCCCCUUCCCCAGCCCCCUACCACCCUCUCAAGCAGAGGGUGGUAGGGGGCUGGGGCAGGGGCUGGAAGGGGGC